Molecule: ribosomal RNA, 301 nt
Filed under: uncultured bacterium
Lineage: Bacteria
Description: partial 16S ribosomal RNA
Rfam family: Bacterial small subunit ribosomal RNA
Source: RNAcentral
CAGUCGCCACGGGAAAACCGAGGGUGCAAGCGUUAAUCGGAUUUACUGGGCGUAAAGGGCGCGUAGGUGGUUAUGUAAGUGAGAUGUGAAAUCCCCGGGCUCAACCUGGGAACUGCAUCUUAUACUGCGUAGCUGGAGUGCAGUAGAGGGUAGUGGAAUUUCCGGUGUAGCGGUGAAAUGCGUAGAUAUCGGAAGGAACACCAGUGGCGAAGGCGGCUACCUGGACUGACACUGACACUGAGGCGCGAAAGCGUGGGGAGCAAACAGGAUUAGAUACCCGUGUAGUCCCUGUCUCUUAUAC